RNAcentral lists this ribosomal RNA (904 nucleotides) under Streptococcus sp. C6I8. RNAcentral describes it as "bacterial SSU rRNA". It matches the Rfam family "Bacterial small subunit ribosomal RNA", at positions 97 to 985 of the family's 1533-position model. The record is from RNAcentral. Lineage: Bacteria; Bacillati; Bacillota; Bacilli; Lactobacillales; Streptococcaceae.
UGCGAACGGGUGAGUAACGCGUAGGUAACCUGCCUACUAGCGGGGGAUAACUAUUGGAAACGAUAGCUAAUACCGCAUAACAGCAUUUAACCCAUGUUAGAUGCUUGAAAGGAGCAAUUGCUUCACUAGUAGAUGGACCUGCGUUGUAUUAGCUAGUUGGUGAGGUAACGGCUCACCAAGGCGACGAUACAUAGCCGACCUGAGAGGGUGAUCGGCCACACUGGGACUGAGACACGGCCCAGACUCCUACGGGAGGCAGCAGUAGGGAAUCUUCGGCAAUGGGGGCAACCCUGACCGAGCAACGCCGCGUGAGUGAAGAAGGUUUUCGGAUCGUAAAGCUCUGUUGUAAGAGAAGAACGUGUGUGAGAGUGGAAAGUUCACACAGUGACGGUAACUUACCAGAAAGGGACGGCUAACUACGUGCCACCAGCCGCGGUAAUACGUAGGUCCCGAGCGUUGUCCGGAUUUAUUGGGCGUAAAGCGAGCGCAGGCGGUUUAAUAAGUCUGAAGUUAAAGGCAGUGGCUUAACCAUUGUUCGCUUUGGAAACUGUUAGACUUGAGUGCAGAAGGGGAGAGUGGAAUUCCAUGUGUAGCGGUGAAAUGCGUAGAUAUAUGGAGGAACACCGGUGGCGAAAGCGGCUCUCUGGUCUGUAACUGACGCUGAGGCUCGAAAGCGUGGGGAGCAAACAGGAUUAGAUAACCUGGUAGUCCACGCCGUAAACGAUGAGUGCUAGGUGUUAGGCCCUUUCCGGGGCUUAGUGCCGCAGCUAACGCAUUAAGCACUCCGCCUGGGGGAGUACGACCGCAAGGUUGAAACUCAAAGGAAUUGACGGGGGGCCCGCACCAGCGGUGGAGCAUGUGGUUUUAAUUCGAAGCAACGCGAAGAACCCUACCACGUCUUGAC